AACCUAUGAUGGUAUAAGAGUAGUGGACAGAAAGAAUUUCUGAAAAACCUGAUUAUCUGAGGCA
Molecule: small nucleolar RNA, 64 nt
Organism: Suncus etruscus (white-toothed pygmy shrew)
Lineage: Eukaryota; Metazoa; Chordata; Mammalia; Eulipotyphla; Soricidae
Product: small nucleolar RNA SNORD75
Exons: 1
Source: RefSeq, a predicted model, not a curated record